RNAcentral lists this transfer RNA (71 nucleotides) under Lucilia cuprina (Australian sheep blowfly). It matches the Rfam family "tRNA". Rfam says of the family: Transfer RNA (tRNA) molecules are approximately 80 nucleotides in length. Their secondary structure includes four short double-helical elements and three loops (D, anti-codon, and T loops). Further hydrogen bonds mediate the characteristic L-shaped molecular structure. tRNAs have two regions of fundamental functional importance: the anti-codon, which is responsible for specific mRNA codon recognition, and the 3' end, to which the tRNAs corresponding amino acid is attached (by aminoacyl-tRNA synthetases). tRNAs cope with the degeneracy of the genetic code in two manners: having more than one tRNA (with a specific anti-codon) for a particular amino acid; and 'wobble' base-pairing, i.e. permitting non-standard base-pairing at the 3rd anti-codon position. Lineage: Eukaryota; Metazoa; Arthropoda; Insecta; Diptera; Calliphoridae. The record is from Rfam by way of RNAcentral.
GGGUUUGUGGUAUAGUGGUAGCAUACAUCCUUAGGGUGGAUGUGACCCCGGUUCAAUUCCGGGCAAACCCC